Heterocephalus glaber (naked mole-rat) is the source of this 46-nucleotide non-coding RNA. Lineage: Eukaryota; Metazoa; Chordata; Mammalia; Rodentia; Bathyergidae. The record is from Rfam.
CCAAAGGCUCUUUUCAGAGCCGCUAAUUUUCUCAUGUGCAGAGUUG